GUUGAAGUCGCGCAAUGCUGCCUAGGUCUACUUCCUGGAUUUGUAAAGCAGGUCACCAGAACAGGUGGAACGGAGGAGCCAGAGAGGGAGGAAUAGAACUUGAAUACCACAUUCAGCAAGCUGAAAGAAUCGGUUCUUCCAGGAAGCGUCUCAGUUCCACGGUUGAGGGGCGCAGCGGACUGAUUCGAAGACCCUGAGGUUGAUCCCAAACAAGGAGUUGAGGUGUGGUCCUCAAACGCAAAAUGGUAGAGUCUGGUCUCCUCCUCCCCCAGGUAAUUUUCUCCAUGUCUCCAGUGCAGGGUGUUAAUUAGCUGGGAGCCGUGGGGUGGGCAUUCAGGUUAAGUGCUUCAGGUUUAAAACUCAUCAGAGCAGACAUGUCCCACGGGGCUUCGCUGUGGAUCUGGCAGCGGCAGGAUUAAGUUUCGUGGC
Long non-coding RNA from Anguilla rostrata (American eel), 429 nucleotides. RefSeq lists it as uncharacterized. The record is from RefSeq and is a predicted model, not a curated record. The transcript has 3 exons. Lineage: Eukaryota; Metazoa; Chordata; Actinopteri; Anguilliformes; Anguillidae.